Molecule: ribosomal RNA, 301 nt
Filed under: uncultured bacterium
Lineage: Bacteria
Description: partial 16S ribosomal RNA
Rfam family: Bacterial small subunit ribosomal RNA
Source: RNAcentral
CAGCCGCCGCGGUAAUACGUAGGUGGCAAGCGUUAUCCGGAAUUAUUGGGCGUAAAGCGCGCGUAGGCGGUUUUUUAAGUCUGAUGUGAAAGCCCACGGCUCAACCGUGGAGGGUCAUUGGAAACUGGAAAACUUGAGUGCAGAAGAGGAAAGUGGAAUUCCAUGUGUAGCGGUGAAAUGCGCAGAGAUAUGGAGGAACACCAGUGGCGAAGGCGACCUUCUGGUCUGUAACUGACGCUGAUGUGCGAAAGCGUGGGGAUCAAACAGGAUUAGAUACCCGUGUAGUCCCUGUCUCUUAUAC